RNAcentral lists this ribosomal RNA (1528 nucleotides) under metagenome. RNAcentral's name for it is "bacterial SSU rRNA". It matches the Rfam family "Bacterial small subunit ribosomal RNA". The record is from RNAcentral.
AGAGUUUGAUUCUGGCUCAGAACGAACGCUGGCAGCGUGGAUUAGGCAUGCAAGUCGAACGUGAAUCCGGUGAUCAAUCUUUCGGGAGAGUGAACCGGUGGAAAGUGGCGGAAGGGUGAGUAACGCGUGGGCAAUCUGCCUCCGAGUUGGGGAUAACCAUUCGAAAGGAUGGCUAAUACCGAAUACGGUGGUGUUGCUUCGGUGACAUUGACUAAAGGUGGGGCUCCUUCGGGACCUGCCGCUGGGAGAGGAACCCGCGUCCGAUCAGCUUGAUGGUGGGGGUAACGGCCUACCAAGGCUACGACCGGUAGCUGGUCUGAGAGGAUGGUCAGCCACACUGGGACUGAGACACUGCCCAGACUCCUACGGGAGGCUGCAGUCAAGGAUCAUUGGCAAUGCGCGAAAGCGUGACCAUGCGACGCUGCGUGGGGGAUGAAGGCCUUCGGGUUGUAAACCCCUGUCAUUGGGGACAAAUCACUCGGCCGUGAAUAUCGGUUGAGUUUGAUGGUACCUGAAGAGGAAGCCACGGCUAACUCUGUGCCAGCAGCCGCGGUAAUACAGAGGUGGCGAGCGUUGUUCGGAUUUACUGGGCGUAAAGGGUGCGUAGGUGGCUGCGUGUGUCGGAUGUGAAAUCCCGUUGCUUAACGGCGGAACUGCAUUCGAAACUGCGUGGCUUGAGUGCAGGAGGGGAGAGCGGAAUUCUCGGUGUAGCGGUGAUAUGUGUUGAUAUCGAGAAGAACACCGGUGGCGAAGGCGGCUCUCUGGAAUGUUACUGACACUGAGGCACGAAAGCUGGGGGAGCAAACAGGAUUAGAUACCCUGGUAGUCCCAGCCGUAAACGGUGCGCACUUGGUGUUGGCGGUAUUGAUCCCGCCAGUGCCGGAGCUAACGCGUUAAGUGCGCCGCCUGGGGAGUACGGCCGCAAGGUUAAAACUCAAAGAAAUUGACGGGGGCCCGCACAAGCGGAGGAGCAUGUGGCUUAAUUCGAUGCAACGCGAAGAACCUUACCAGGGCUUGACAUGCAGCUGCACGCCCCGGGAAACCGGGGUUCCUUCGAGGGUGCUGCACAGGUGCUGCAUGGCUGUCGUCAGUUCGUGCCGUGAGGUGUUGGGUUAAGUCCCGCAACGAACGCAACCCCUGUGGUUAGUUGCCACCGUCGGUGAUGAGCCGGCGAGCACUCUAGCCAGACUGCCCGUACAAGCGGGAGGAAGGUGGGGACGACGUCAAGUCAGUAUGGCCCUUACGCCCUGGGCUGCACACGUGCUACAAUGGUCGGUACAAAGGGAAGCAAGACCGUGAGGUGGAGCAAAUCCCCAAAGCCGGCCCCAGUAGGGAUUGGAGUCUGCAACUCGACUCCAUGAAGUCGGAUUCGCUAGUAACGGCGCAUCAGCUACGGCGCCGUGAAUACGUUCCCGGGCCUUGUACACACCGCCCGUCACAUCAUGAAAGCCGUCUGCACCCGAAGUCGCCGGGCCAACCCGCAAGGGAGGCAGGUGCCGAAGGUGUGGGUGGUGAUUGGGAUGAAGUC